UGUUAAAAAUUUUAAUCAUUUUUACUAUUAAAAACUAGCAUGACUGAUAGAAUAACCAAACUGUUAUGCACAGGAACCGGUUUUUAACAGUAGAAAUAGAUGAAAAUUUUAACA
RNAcentral lists this microRNA precursor (114 nucleotides) under Gossypium barbadense (sea-island cotton). Its description in RNAcentral is "MIR7502 microRNA precursor family". It matches the Rfam family "MIR7502 microRNA precursor family". Lineage: Eukaryota; Viridiplantae; Streptophyta; Magnoliopsida; Malvales; Malvaceae. The record is from Rfam by way of RNAcentral. RNAcentral also lists the same sequence under 2 other names.